Molecule: non-coding RNA, 230 nt
Organism: Pelobates cultripes (western spadefoot toad)
Lineage: Eukaryota; Metazoa; Chordata; Amphibia; Anura; Pelobatidae
Source: the annotation of a GenBank genome assembly
CACACACACACACUGCAUCCCUCACACACACAGUGCAACUGUCACACACACAGUGUACCCCUCACACACACACACUGCACCCCUCACACACACACUGCACCCCUCACACGCGCACUGCACCCCUCACACACAGUACUCCUUUACAACACGAACUCCUAUACACACUCUGCAUCCUAAGCACACACAAUAAAUCUCCUAUACAUACUCUGAAUCGGAUCCUAAGCACAGGC